UUGCUUCAGCAGCACGUAUUCUAAAAUUGGAAUAAUGCAGAGAACAUUAGUAUGGUCCUUGCACAAGGAUGACAUGCAAAUUCAUGAAGUGUUCCAAAUUUUU
Small nuclear RNA from Ailuropoda melanoleuca (giant panda), 103 nucleotides. NCBI's taxonomy places the organism in Eukaryota, Metazoa, Chordata, Mammalia, Carnivora, Ursidae. The record is from Ensembl.